GUUUUUAGAGCAGGAGACAUGAGGUUGCUAAACCCAUUCAUUUCUCACAUGCACUCAUGUUUCUAAUGUCUGUGGAGAUCCGGCUUUAAAAGUCCUCUGCGAGCUAUUGGAAUGAAGAGCACUUCAUGAAGACAUUGUAAUUAUUAUGGGAUUCAGGGGUGUGUGGAAAUGAUUCAUGGAGAUGUUUCCCAGCCAGCAGGCUCAUGGAGCCAGGUGAGCUCUUCCCUGGAAUGUGAAGCAUGCAGCGUGGCAACUGGGAGAAACAGGUUUGGCCGGACAUUUUAAGUUGUUCGCAGCAGACAGCCUCUUCAGAGCCACAUCCCUGCUUUGCUGAUCUCCCAGCUGGAUGCUCCGCUCUGCCACACUGGCCCUGCUGAGCUGGAGAGGAUGGACACGCUGCGCAGGAGCCUUUCUCGAUGGAAGAGGUACCACAUUAAGGUGCACCUGGCUGACGAGGACCUGAUGAUGCCCCUGACGGUCAGGCCCAGGGACACAGUGAUGGACCUACGGGCUCUCUUGGUACGGGAGGGCAUCACUUCCUGGAAGAAGACAUUUUAUUACAACUCCAGGCAGCUCGAGGAGCACGAGACUCUCAAAGAAGCCAAUAUCCAGAACGGUUCUGUCCUCCUUCUUGUCAGCAAUAAAAGAUAAUGUCAAAGAGCACAGCCAAAGCCAUGAGAGAUGCGGAGUGUGACAAGGGCUGAAGGGAAGCAGAUGGAAGAGAGCUUGCCCAUGGAAAGGCAGCCUGGCCACCGGUGUUGCGCAGUUGCUGCCUCUCUUCAGAGCAGGAAGAGCUGGUUUGGUUGCUGUCCUUCAAAUGAUGCAUCUUAUCACAUGGGAAAAAGUAGGAUAAAACCCACAAACCACCUAGAAAGAGCCACAGGACCAGCAUUAAAGAGGUGUGGACAAGAGCAAGGACCAGCAUUGGAAGGUGUAUUAGGUCCUGAGUGUAUUGCAAGAUGGAGAAGUUUGCAACUCCACAAUGCUGCUCUGUGGAUGGGGCUGCUUCUUGUUGGGACUGUUACCUUUGGGAUCCUGCUAUUGACGGAGCAUCGCAGACGGGAUUAUCCAAAGCACUGCUGUUUACCUCCACCUUGGAGCUGCAGCCAGGCCUUUCCAGUAGCUCCUUCUCUUGAGCUUCACGAGCAGAAGACAAGCCUGGGCAGGUCAUCUCCACCAGCUGCUGUGUUCUAGUCAGGCAGCUCAGGCUGGG
This 1213-nucleotide long non-coding RNA is filed under the name Corvus moneduloides (New Caledonian crow). RNAcentral describes it as "lncRNA (ENSCMUG00000017673.1)". The record is from RNAcentral. Lineage: Eukaryota; Metazoa; Chordata; Aves; Passeriformes; Corvidae.